RNAcentral lists this ribosomal RNA (307 nucleotides) under uncultured bacterium. RNAcentral describes it as "partial 16S ribosomal RNA". It matches the Rfam family "Bacterial small subunit ribosomal RNA", at positions 506 to 807 of the family's 1533-position model. The record is from RNAcentral.
AGACAGCAGCAGCCACGGGAAUACAGAGGGUGCGAGCGUUAAUCGGAUUUACUGGGCGUAAAGCGUGCGUAGGCGGCUUUUUAAGUCGGAUGUGAAAUCCCUGAGCUUAACUUAGGAAUUGCAUUCGAUACUGGGAAGCUAGAGUAUGGGAGAGGAUGGUAGAAUUCCAGGUGUAGCGGUGAAAUGCGUAGAGAUCUGGAGGAAUACCUAUGGCGAAGGCAGCCAUCUGGCCUAAUACUGACGCUGAGGUACGAAAGCAUGUGGAGCAAACAGGAUUAGAUACCCCAGUAGUCCCUGUCUCUUAUAC